CCGCGGUAAUACGAAGGGUGCAAGCGUUACUCGGAAUUACGGGGCGUAAAGAGCUCGUAGGCGGUCUGUUAAGUCGGGUGUGAAAGCCCUCGGCUCAACCGAGGAAUUGCACUCGAUACUGGCAGGCUAGAGUCAAGCAGAGGGAAGUGGAAUUCCCGGUGUAGCGGUGAAAUGCGCAGAUAUCGGGAAGAACACCGGUGGCGAAGGCGGCUUCCUGGGCUUGUACUGACGCUGAGGAGCGAAAGCUAGGGGAGCGAACAGG
Molecule: ribosomal RNA, 262 nt
Filed under: uncultured bacterium
Lineage: Bacteria
Description: partial 16S ribosomal RNA
Rfam family: Bacterial small subunit ribosomal RNA
Source: RNAcentral